UAGGGAAUCUUCCGCAAUGGGCGAAAGCCUGACGGAGCAACGCCGCGUGAGUGAUGAAGGUCUUCGGAUCGUAAAACUCUGUUAUUAGGGAAGAACAAAUGUGUAAGUAACUAUGCACGUCUUGACGGUACCUAAUCAGAAAGCCACGGCAACUACGUGCCAGCAGCCGCGGUAAUACGUAGGUGGCAAGCGUUAUCCGGAAUUAUUGGGCGUAAAGCGCGCGUAGGCGGUUUUUUAAGUCUGAUGUGAAAGCCCACGGCUCAACCGUGGAGGGUCAUUGGAAACUGGAAAACUUGAGUGCAGAAGAGGAAAGUGGAAUUCCAUGUGUAGCAGUGAAAUGCGCAGGGAUAUGGAGGAACACCAGUGGCGAAGGCGACUUUCUGGUCUGUAACUGACGCUGAUGUGCGAAAGCGUGGGGAUCAAACAGG
Molecule: ribosomal RNA, 428 nt
Filed under: Actinomycetes bacterium
Lineage: Bacteria; Bacillati; Actinomycetota; Actinomycetes
Description: Actinobacteria bacterium partial 16S ribosomal RNA
Rfam family: Bacterial small subunit ribosomal RNA
Source: RNAcentral